GACGAACGCUGGCGGCGCGCCUAACACAUGCAAGUCGAACGGGACUAUCUCGGAAGAAGUUUUCGGAUGGAUUUUGGGAUAGUUUAGUGGCGGACGGGUGAGUAACACGUGAGCAACCUGCCUUCGAGAGGGGAAUAACGGCUGGAAACGGUCGCUAAUACCGCAUAACGUACGGAUGGGACAUCCUGUCUGUACCAAAGAUUUAUCGCUCGAAGAUGGGCUCGCGUCCGAUUAGGUAGUUGGUGAGGUAACGGCCCACCAAGCCGACGAUCGGUAGCCGGACUGAGAGGUUGAACGGCCACAUUGGGACUGAGACACGGCCCAG
Molecule: ribosomal RNA, 325 nt
Filed under: uncultured bacterium
Lineage: Bacteria
Description: bacterial SSU rRNA
Rfam family: Bacterial small subunit ribosomal RNA
Source: RNAcentral